This 440-nucleotide ribosomal RNA is filed under the name uncultured bacterium. RNAcentral's name for it is "partial 16S ribosomal RNA". It matches the Rfam family "Bacterial small subunit ribosomal RNA", at positions 338 to 795 of the family's 1533-position model. The record is from RNAcentral.
CCUACGGGUGGCAGCAGUGGGUAAUAUUGCACAAUGGGGGAAACCCUGAUGAAGCGACGCCGCGUGAGUGAAGAAGUAUGUCGGUAUGUAAAGCUCUAACAGCAGGGAAGAUAAUGACGGUACCUGACUAAGAAGCCCCGGCUAACUACGUGCCAGCGGCCGCGGUAAUACGUUGGGGGCAAGCUUGAUGCGGAGUUAAUGGGUGUAAAGGGAACGGAGGUGGCAGGGCAAGUCAGAUGUUAAAACCCGGGUCUCAACCCCGGGAUUGCAUUUGAAAAUGUCCAGCGAGAGUGCAGGAGAGGUAAGCGGAAUUCAUAGUGUAGCGGUGAAAUGCAUAGAUAUUAGGAGGACCACCAGUGGCGACGGCGGCUUACUGGACUGUAACUGACACUGAGGCUCGAAAGCGUGGGGAGCAAACAGGAUUAGAUACCCGAGUAGUC